UACGGGGGGAGCAAGCGUUGUUCGGAUUUACUGGGCGUAAAGGGCGCGUAGGCGGUCGGGACAAGUCACUUGUGAAAUCUCCGGGCUUAACUCGGAACGGUCAAGUGAUACUGUCGGACUAGAGUACAGAAGGGGCAACUGGAAUUCUCGGUGUAGCGGUGAAAUGCGUAGAUAUCGAGAGGAACACCUGCGGCGAAGGCGGGUUGCUGGGCUGAUACUGACGCUGAGGCGCGAAAGCCAGGGGAGCGAACGGG
RNAcentral lists this ribosomal RNA (254 nucleotides) under uncultured bacterium. Its description in RNAcentral is "partial 16S ribosomal RNA". It matches the Rfam family "Bacterial small subunit ribosomal RNA", at positions 524 to 776 of the family's 1533-position model. The record is from RNAcentral.